Molecule: long non-coding RNA, 5740 nt
Organism: Limulus polyphemus (Atlantic horseshoe crab)
Lineage: Eukaryota; Metazoa; Arthropoda; Merostomata; Xiphosura; Limulidae
Exons: 2
Source: RefSeq, a predicted model, not a curated record
ACAGUGGGAUUGAUCGUAACAUUAAAACGCCUCCACAGCUGAAAAGGCGAGCAUGUUUGGUGGGACGGGGAUCCAAACGAGCGAUCCGCAGAUUGUGAGUUGGGUUCCCUAACCACAUAGCCCAAAGUAUCUCAAGUUAAAUAAUUGAAAUUUAACGCAUGUUUUAAAAUAUGUUGACUGGUCAUCACUGUAUGUUUUUUUACUGAACAUUUAGUACUUCUACAGAAUUUUAUGUAAAGCAUGACGAUUUAUCUGGCAAAAUAUUGGAAUGAUGCUACUGUUGUGGAUAUGGUAAAAGACGAAAACUGCAUUAUGAAACUUGAUGAAAAUUCGAGCAUAUUAUUUCACUGUGAAUGUUUCCUGUACGAAGAGUACACAUCAUAAAUGGAGUUUAAACAUACAAGUAUUGGUAUAUUAUAAUAAUAUAGUUAUUACGAAUCUUUGCUUUCUUCCCAUUCACGAAACAUAGUCUCGAAAUAAACGAAUCCUUCCUUAUUCGUGGAUGCUUUGAAUUUUACUAGAAAAAUAUGUAUUUAAAUGUUUGUAAUUAAUAAAUAUAUAAAAACUCUUUUCUCUCCGCCAAUUCUGUGUAAUUACCUGAAUAUAUCUAUAUAAUAGUUUUCGUCCAUGGCUGCUAAUUUUUAAAUCAAUUGAACAUUAUUAAAUUAUAGUUAAAUUUUAAAAAAUUGACAAGUUUUACUUCCGUGUAGUAGUCCAUCGUUGGCUCAGCGGUAAUCUUUAGGGUUUAUAACGCUAAAAACGAGGAUUCGAUCCGUGCGGCAGACAGCGCAGUUAGCCUAUUGUGUAGCUUUGUGCAAAAACUCACUUCCAUGUAGGCCUAAAGCCAUUUUAAAAAUAAUAUUUGUGUGUGUGUGUUAUGUAGAUGUUGAUUUUUUCCACUUUCCGUGUUACUUGAAGUCUCCAUUAUGCGAUUCUUACCACAUACACGUUUAUUAUUGUACGUGAAGAUAAACUUUGACGUUUCUUGCAUUUCACGAGGCAAAGAUAACUUUAUUACAUUUAGCAGUUGUGAAACAUAUAUUUAUACUUCGAUUUUUUCUGUUUUGCUUUAUCAACUAGUCGUUAUACACUUAGCAGUGCCUUAAAAUGCGACAUCGAAAUUAAACAUAGUAAAUUUAGUACAAUAUUUCAUACACUAAUGUAAAGUACAAAAAAAUACGAAAGAGAGACCCAUCACUGAUGCAUAAGACCGAAAUAUGUUUCGCAACCAGUAAACCAGGCAGAAUUACAAACGUUAAUUGCAUCAUCUCUAGAAGCUACAGCUGUGUGUAUAACCUAGGUGUUUCAUUACUCAACAACUGACACUCCUUCCAGUUUGUCUUAAAGUCAACUAACUUACCAACGAUACUCUUGUAUUUUUAUACUAUGUUAUUCUUAUAACAAACAAAAGUAACAUCAAGUUAUAUGUCUGGAGUAAGGAAAUAAUUCUACAACUAAAAAUGACUUAAGCUCCAGAAAAACUUUACCUGUAUUUCAUCUUGUGUCCCUCAAUAGCUCAGCGGUAAGUUUGAGGGCCCACACCGCCAAAAAUCAGGUUUCGAUACUCGUGGUGGGAAUAGAUAGCCCAUUAGGUAGCUUUAGGCUUAAUAACAAACUGAGUUUGUUUACCCACGACUUAUGGGUUAAACGUUUUACCACUAUACGACUAGUACAAACCAGUACGUUGGUAAAAUAAACAUUUUUUCUGGAGUUCUAAGUCGUUUUUACUUGUAGACUAAUAUAAAAGUAUUAUAUCAAUAAUUUUUAAUAUGCCUUUCUGUGGAGUUAGAUAUGAACUACUUGUAUCACAACUAAUCUUUUUGUGGAAAUAGUACAAAACUUGCGCAGUCUUGUAUGACGUGUUUUAAAACGAUAAACUUUACAAUAUUUUAUGUAAAUUGAAGUGCAAAACUAUAUUUAUUCUCAAUAGAUUCUAAUUUGGAAUUGAUAAAUGUGUCUUAGAUAUUCUGGUGAUUGUAUUAAUGUGUUUCAGGCUAUAAUAAUGUCACAAUUUUGCAUUUAUUGGAGAAAUGUCACAAUCUAGAAAGUGUAAUUGUUUUUAUAAGUUAUGAUGUGCCCCCCCCCCCAGAAGGUGUCUUCUUAUAUGCUUUUUGUUCUUUUUCAUAAUUUGCAGAAACUAAUUUUUGUCAUAUAGUUUUUUCUUCUUUUUCUUUAAGCAGUAAACUUUAGAAAUAUAAUUUUGUAAUACCGAUUAUGUAGCUCGUAAGAGAUCACGUUAUGCGUGUUUUAACAGGAAGUUUUCUCGACACGUUGAAUGUGAGUGCAUUAGAUAAACACUAAAUUUGUAAAUGUUUUGUUUUAAAUUGUGAAGUAUUGUGGGAUAUAUUUUGUGUAUGAUGUUGUUUAUUACAAGAAGGGUUUUAAUGCAGCGUGUAUUAUUAUUAUUAUAUAUAUCUGUGAUAGUACCUUCCAUUAUAUAACCAAAAUAGUGUAAUUUAAACAAAAAAGGAAUUGUUUUGAUUGCAGUUUCAACUCGCCUGUUUAGCUAUUUCGUUUCAUGUGUUAAUGUAGGAAUUAUUAUACAAACAGUAAGUACUUCUUCAUGUCUGUACAGCUUUGCUUUGUCAUGAUUAGAUACAUCAAUCAGAUCUUUUAAACAUUAAUAAAAACCAAUGAAUGAAAACUUUGUUGUUUCUCUAUCUUGGUGUUUUGUUGAUUGUUCCUCAAAUCUUCAAUACAACAAAUUAUGUACGAAGAUCAGCCAUGGAACGCUAUUUCAUUUAGGAACUUAUUUUCUGAUAAAAUAGUUGUUGGCGUUAUCUUUCUUUAGUACAGUAAACAUACUGAUGAGAAAGGAUAAUUUUAUGCCUGUUUUUGACUUAAAAGAGACUAGGAGAUUGUAAUUGGGCAUGUCUCUGUUUCCUAGGGCAGUCCUCACUCAAAUAUACCCUAUAAUGAAUAAAAAAAAAAGCUAAGAUUAAAAUAUUUUUUCAGUUAUUUGUAUAUUCUAAAAAUGUGUAACAAGUUACAAAAUUGAUUGUCAUUGGUGCACAUAGGUUUUAGCCAAGUGCUUACUUGUGAAAGUUACAAAAUUGACUUGUCAUUGGUGCACAUUAGGUUUUAGCCAAGUGCUUACUUGUGAAUCAAAUUAUAAUUUGUUAUCAAACAUUUAGAUAAAACUUCUUAUUCUAUGUAGCUUUAGAUUAUUUACUUGAAUGCAGAGUUAGCUUACAAUAAGCUAUUUAUCAUAUUACAGUUCAGGUUUUUCAUGUCAAACUUAUUCUAUGUAGCUUUAGGUUAAUUACUUCAAUGCACAGUUAGCUUACGUUAAGCUAUUUAUCAUAUUACAGUUCAGGUUUUUCAUGUCAAACUUCUUAUUCUAUGUAGCUUUAGAUUAAUUACUUGAAUGCGCAGUUAGCUUACAAUAAGCUAUUUAUCAUAUUACAGUUCAGGUUUUUCAUGUCAAACUUCUUAUUCUUUCCAACAACAUUACCAUACAUCUUAGCAAUGUAUUAUUAAUAUCAAAUAAUUAGAAUUGUGCAACUUCGGAGUUGGUUAAAUGUUUCUUUACUCACGUGUUAUCAGUGGUAAUCGUUUCAGCCAGCUUAUUUUUUCUUUUCCUUGUAGGUUACAAAAUCUGUGUUCGUUAAGUUGUAUGAAAUUAAACAUCAUUUAAACUUUUUUAAAAUCGUUUGAUAGUCAAUGUACCUACCUACCUUUUCAUUUAACCAUUUUUUGUUAUUUUGAACGAUAGUUAACAAGUAGCUGUGACUGGAGAGUGAUGAGUUGUUUAUAACUUUUAUGUCAUACAUGUUUAUUUUUAGGUUAUUUCGUGCAUCAGACAGCAUCGCCACAAAACAACAGUGUAAUCGGCUCUGGACUGGUGUGUCCUAUAUGUAAGAAGAGAUAUUCAAGCAAGUCUAACUUGAUCCAACACAUGGGAAUUCAUAGACCUCAGAGGAAGAAAUUUUACUGUGACAUCUGUUUCAAAACCUUCUUAUGGUCCAAUAGUAGAAAUGCUCACAAAAGGAACGUUCAUCGAGUGUUUUGAUGAUGGUCUUAGAUCCGGCAGACUUGGUCGCCCUCGUCGCUCAGAACAGACCAUUUUCAGACGAGAUUUAGUAUGCCCGAUUUGUGGGUUAGACUACGCCCAAAAAAGUAGUCUGCUCAACCACAUGAACAUUCAUCGACCACAGAGAAAGAAAUAUUAUUGUGAUGUAUGCAACAAAUCAUUUCUUUGGCCGAACAGUCGAAACCUCCACAAAAGAACUGUGCAUGGUUAUAAAUUCUAAUAGAUGUUAAAUCUACAGAAUGAUUGUUGGUAAUUUUACAUUAUUAGUUAGUUAGAGCUACAAAAAGAGUGUCCAGGAUCGUGUGUUCUUAGUAUUGUUAAAUCUACAAAAGGAUUGUCCCUGGUUCUGCAUUCCUAGUAGUAUUUCAUCUACAAAAAACUGUGCUUUUUUAUAAUUAAAUCCUAAGAGUUGUUAAUCCACCCAAAAUCUAUGCUUGGUUCUGAAUUUUUAAUAUUGUUAGAUCUACAAAAGAACUGUGCAUGAUUCCACAUUCCCAACAUUGUUAUAUCCAUAAUAAAACUAUUCAUGGGUCUACAUUCUUAGUAUUGUUAGUUAUACAAAAGAACUGUGCAUGGAUCUGCAUUCUUAAUAUUGUUAGAUCUACAUAAGAAUGGUUCAUCAAUUUCCAUUCAUAAUAUUUGUUUUAGAUCUACAAAAGAACUGUUCACAGUUCUACAUUUUUAGUAUUGUUAGAUCCAAUAAAGAACUGAGCAUGUAUCUCCAUUCUUAAUAUGGUUAGAUCCAAAAAAAUCUAACUGUUCAUGGUUCUACUUUCUUGGUAAUCUUAAGAAUCAUAACACUACAGUGCUUGGUCCUACAUUCACACAGUUUUGUUAAAUCCACAGAAGAAGUGCUUUAAAGAACACUGCUUGUUUCUGAACUGUGUAUAGUUCUAUAUUCAUGGGUUUGUUAGACCUACUAAAAAAAAAGUGCUUGAUUCUGUUUUUUAAAUAAAAAAGAUGUGCAUGGCUCUACGUUCAUAGUUUUUUAGUUUCACGAAAUCCCAGUAUUUGAGUCUGUAUUUCAGUUGGAUCCACUUAAGAGCCACACAUUAUUUAACUUUAUUAUUUAAAUAAACAGUUAGGUGAGUUUAUACAUUUCAAGCAUUGUUAAAUCCACAAAAAUGUAUAUUAUGCUUUUACAUUUUAAGCAUCCUUUGAUUCUAACAAGUUUUAUACCAAUAUUUGGGCCAGGUUAACUACUUAAGGCACUGAUUUAAAUCUACUUAUUGUACUGGAAGUACUUAUAUCUGUGUUGAUUUAUUGUUCAGUGAUUUAUCAUCACAAUUCAGUACUUUGAUUAGUUUAUACCUCCUUUAGUAACCAAAUAUUAAGUUGCUUCAGUUCUUAAUAAUGAAUAAGAUGCUUGUAUUUAUAGUAUCAAUUAAAAGACAAACAAGUACCCAAUACUGGGCUAUAUGGGUACUUCAAAUAUUUUUUUCAUACCUCAGUGCCAUUACAUAAUGUUGAAGUAUAGUUUAUAUGCAAGGUAAUAAUCUUGGGAAUUUGGGUGCUAGUGUUACCAUACUAUUUUAUGGUACACUUUCUAAUCAACUACAUGUGAUUUUAUAAAGAUAGUGUGAUGCAUUAUCAUGAUAUUGAAUGAGUGAUAGGAAUUUUGUAUCCUUCCAAUGUUCUGACACUGCGUUGUACUUCAUAUUGUCAAUAAAGUCCUUAAGAAUCUGCAUUAACUGUUCAAAACAAUUA